This 78-nucleotide transfer RNA is filed under the name Puccinia triticina 1-1 BBBD Race 1. RNAcentral describes it as "tRNA-Leu (CAG) (tRNA-Leu-CAG-2-1)". It matches the Rfam family "tRNA". Rfam says of the family: Transfer RNA (tRNA) molecules are approximately 80 nucleotides in length. Their secondary structure includes four short double-helical elements and three loops (D, anti-codon, and T loops). The record is from RNAcentral. Lineage: Eukaryota; Fungi; Basidiomycota; Pucciniomycetes; Pucciniales; Pucciniaceae.
GGACAUAUGGCCGAGUGGUCUAAGGCGCUAGCUUCAGGCGCUAGUCUUCGGUCGUGGGUUCGAAUCCCACUGUGUUCA